UGCGAAUCUACCUUAUCUUUCCCUCACUCAUCUUUCUCGCUCCCGUUCGUUGCAGCCGCCAGGCACCGCCGCCCGCCGCGCCCCCACGCCCGCCUGCUGGUGCCCCCGCCGCGCCCCUCCCCGCACCGCCGGCACGCCCGCUUCGCCCCAGCCCGCAGACACCCCCGCCCGCGACGAGCUGUGCUGCUGGUGGCGGUGGAGCGCAGUGAGGAUGAGGCGCGCGUCGCGCCUGGUGGCCGGGUCAUGGAGGCGCGCCAGCAGAGCCCUGAGCUCGCCGUAGGCGGCAUCGCCAGAGGGCUCGCACCGCUGCAGGGACUCCUUGACGAUGCUGCCGUCGUCAUCCGCCUCCACGCCCACGCUGCCCAUCUGAUUCCGAUCUGAUUCCAGUCGCUGAGGUCCGCCGGAGCUAGCUAGAGCCUAUAGCUUGGCUUCUUGUUUGCUUCUUCCAGCCUGUACGCAAGGUACGGUGGUGCAGUACACGCCAUGUAUGUAGUUUUGCUUUAUAGACGCCACAGACAUAGUCGACGACGACCUUUGUGCUAGCUAGCUAGCUCUCGUCAGUCGUCAUAUUUACAUUUAGUAUUUUUUCCAUAAUAUACUCACAGCAAAUUUCGAGUGAAUCCAUAAUUUGGAACCGACAAAUAGAUGUGUGCAUGAUUUAGGUCGUCGGAUUUAAUUUAACUUGACUUUAAACAACCAAAUUAAAAUAAGCAAGUGGUGGUCGACUGCUCACCCUAACCAAGGGACAAUUAUUAUCUAAUGUGCCUCCGUCCAUUAAAAUAUGUUUAAAGUUUGACUAGGUUUAUAAAGCCUAGUUAAAUUUAACUAAGAAUUCUUCCGAGAGAGGUUGCAUAGUGCAACGCUCAACGUGGGUCGUUUGGCUUUUGUGAUUAAGAUAACUAGUGGACUAAUGAUCACUAUCAAAGUGAACGUUGCUACAUUUUUCAUUUUUACUUAAGUAUGAAGUAUAAAAUACAAAGACAUAUGUACCAUGUUGGCUAGGUGGUUGCGAGUGUGGAUUUAGAGCCAACAACCAUAGUUUGACACUACACAAAAAACAUACACUUCCUACGGUUGCGAGUGUGCUGAUUGUUUUGAAAUGUUUGGUAGGUUCUGUUUAUAUGGAUUUUUGUAUAUAAGAUUGCAUUGUUCUUUCGUAUGAGGCUGCAUAUGACGAGACGAUGUCUAGUCAGCACGGACCAGACUAUGACUGGAGGACCUCACCUAUUGAUCCUCAGGUUGUGUAUGCAAGUGGUGGAAAAGGUCAUGGAAG
This 1273-nucleotide long non-coding RNA is filed under the name Zea mays. RNAcentral's name for it is "drought responsive lncRNA". Lineage: Eukaryota; Viridiplantae; Streptophyta; Magnoliopsida; Poales; Poaceae. The record is from RNAcentral.